This 468-nucleotide ribosomal RNA is filed under the name Klebsiella pneumoniae. RNAcentral describes it as "bacterial SSU rRNA". The record is from RNAcentral. Lineage: Bacteria; Pseudomonadati; Pseudomonadota; Gammaproteobacteria; Enterobacterales; Enterobacteriaceae.
AGAGCUUGCUCUCGGGUGACGAGCGGCGGACGGGUGAGUAAUGUCUGGGAAACUGCCUGAUGGAGGGGGAUAACUACUGGAAACGGUAGCUAAUACCGCAUAAYGUCGCAAGACCAAAGUGGGGGACCUUCGGGCCUCAUGCCAUCAGAUGUGCCCAGAUGGGAUUAGCUAGUAGGUGGGGUAAYGGCUCACCUAGGCGACGAUCCCUAGCUGGUCUGAGAGGAUGACCAGCCACACUGGAACUGAGACACGGUCCAGACUCCUACGGGAGGCAGCAGUGGGGAAUAUUGCACAAUGGGCGCAAGCCUGAUGCAGCCAUGCCGCGUGUGUGAAGAAGGCCUUCGGGUUGUAAAGCACUUUCAGCGGGGAGGAAGGCGUUAAGGUUAAUAACCUUGUCGAUUGACGUUACCCGCAGAAGAAGCACCGGCUAACUCCGUGCCAGCAGYCGCGGUAAUACGGAGGGUGCAA